UGAACGUUGGCGGCGUGGAUUAGGCAUGCAAGUCGAGCGAGAAACCAAUUAGCUUGCUAAGAGGUGGACAGCGGCGAAAGGGAGAGUAACGCGUGGUUACGUGCCCUCGGGACCGGGAUAGUGUUGGGAAACUGGCAGUAAUACCGGAUAACAUCUAUGGAUCAAAUGGUGAGAUUCCGCCCGAGGAUCGGACCGCGUACUAUUAGCUUGUUGGCGGGGUAAUGGCCCACCAAGGCUGCGAUGGUUACCGGGUGUGAGAGCAUGGCCCGGCUCACUGGGACUGAGACACUGCCCAGACAUCUACGGAUGGCUGCAGUCGAGAAUCUUCGGCAAUGGACGAAAGUCUGACCGAGCGACGCCGCGUGCGGGAUGAAGGCCCUCGGGUUGUAAACCGCUGUCAGUUGGGAGGAAAUUCAUGGGGGUUCUCCCCUGUGAUUGACCGAGCUUCAGAGGAAGGACGGGCUAAGUUCGUGCCAGCCGCCGCGGUA
RNAcentral lists this ribosomal RNA (488 nucleotides) under uncultured Rhodopirellula sp. RNAcentral's name for it is "bacterial SSU rRNA". It matches the Rfam family "Bacterial small subunit ribosomal RNA", at positions 30 to 522 of the family's 1533-position model. Lineage: Bacteria; Pseudomonadati; Planctomycetota; Planctomycetia; Pirellulales; Pirellulaceae. The record is from RNAcentral.